RNAcentral lists this ribosomal RNA (460 nucleotides) under uncultured bacterium. Its description in RNAcentral is "partial 16S ribosomal RNA". It matches the Rfam family "Bacterial small subunit ribosomal RNA", at positions 338 to 795 of the family's 1533-position model. The record is from RNAcentral.
CCUACGGGAGGCAGCAGUGAGGAAUAUUGGUCAAUGGGCGGAAGCCUGAACCAGCCAAGUAGCGUGCAGGAUGACGGCCCUACGGGUUGUAAACUGCUUUUAUACGGGAAUAACGUGCCUUACGUGUAGGGCUUUGCAUGUACCGUAUGAAUAAGGACCGGCUAAUUCCGUGCCAGCAGCCGCGGUAAUACGGAGGGUCCGCGCGUUAUCCGGAUUUAUUGGGUUUAAAGGGAGCGUAGGCCGGAUGUAAAGGGUGAGGUGAAAUGUUCGGGCUCAACCCGGGCCUUGAAGUGGGGACUGGCGUGCUUGAGUCCGCGGAAGGCAGGCGGAAUUCGUCGUGUAGCGGUGACAUGCUUAGAUAUGACGAAGAACCCCGAUUGCGAAGGCAGCUUGCUGCAGCGGAACUGACGCUGAGGCACGAAAGCGUGGGUAUCGAACAGGAUUAGAUACCCCUGUAGUC